RNAcentral lists this ribosomal RNA (489 nucleotides) under uncultured bacterium. RNAcentral describes it as "partial 16S ribosomal RNA". It matches the Rfam family "Bacterial small subunit ribosomal RNA", at positions 30 to 506 of the family's 1533-position model. The record is from RNAcentral.
AUUGAACGCUGGCGGCAUGCCUUACACAUGCAAGUCGAACGGCAGCAUGAUCUAGCUUGCUAGAUUGAUGGCGAGUGGCGAACGGGUGAGUAAUACAUCGGAACGUGCCCUGUAGUGGGGGAUAACUAGUCGAAAGAUUAGCUAAUACCGCAUACGACCUGCGGGUGAAAGGGGGGGACCGCAAGGCCUCAUGCUAUAGGAGCGGCCGAUGUCUGAUUAGCUAGUUGGUGAGGUAAAGGCUCACCAAGGCGACGAUCAGUAGCUGGUCUGAGAGGACGAUCAGCAACACUGGGACUGAGACACGGCCCAGACUCCUACGGGAGGCAGCAGUGGGGAAUUUUGGACAAGGGGCGAAAGCCUGAUCCAGCAAUGCCGCGUGUGUGAAGAAGGCCUUCGGGUUGUAAAGCAUUUUUGUCCGGAAAGAAAUGGCUCUGGUUAAUACCUGGGGUCGAUGACGGUACCGGAAGAAUAAGGACCGGCUAAUUACGU